RNAcentral lists this ribosomal RNA (450 nucleotides) under uncultured Ambispora. RNAcentral's name for it is "SSU rRNA". It matches the Rfam family "Eukaryotic small subunit ribosomal RNA", at positions 569 to 1021 of the family's 1831-position model. The record is from RNAcentral. Lineage: Eukaryota; Fungi; Glomeromycota; Glomeromycetes; Archaeosporales; Ambisporaceae.
AGCAGCCGCGGUAAUUCCAGCUCCAAUAGCGUAUAUUAAAGUUGUUGCAGUUAAAAAGCUCGUAGUUGAAUUUUGGGUCUGGCCGGGCGGUCCGCCCUCUGGGUGAGCACUGUUCCGACGCCGGGCAUAUCCUUCUGGUGAGUCGGCAUGUCCUUUGUUGGGUGUGUCGGGGAACCAGGACCAUUACCUUGAAAAAUUAGAGUGUUCAAAGCAGGCGUAUGCUCGGAUACAUUAGCAUGGAAUAAUGAAAUAGGACGCGUGGUGCUAUUUUGUUGGUUUCUAGAACCGCCGUAAUGAUUAAUAGGGAUAGUUGGGGGCAUUAGUAUUCAAUUGUCAGAGGUGAAAUUCUUGGAUUUAUUGAAGACUAACUUCUGCGAAAGCAUUUGCCAAGGAUGUUUUCAUUAAUCAAGAACGAAAGUUAGGGGAUCGAAGACGAUCAGAUACCGUCGU